RNAcentral lists this long non-coding RNA (220 nucleotides) under Nicotiana benthamiana. RNAcentral describes it as "long non-coding RNA (NBEN_LNC038601)". The record is from RNAcentral. Lineage: Eukaryota; Viridiplantae; Streptophyta; Magnoliopsida; Solanales; Solanaceae.
UAAGUAUACCAUGUUUCAAUUUAUGUACCAAAAUUUACUUUUAAGAUUUAAUUAUCAAUGAUUUAUUAGGGGCUUGAUUUGUGGAACAAAAUAUUACCAUAUCUUCUUUCCCCAAUUAUAUACUUAUUAAUUAUAAAUGAUUAUCCCUUAAUUAUAAACAGUUAAAUAGGUAAUAAUUGAUACCCUAUCAAUUUCUCUCUUUCUCUCCCCCGUCUCUCUU